AAAAGAUUUUAAGAAGUUUAUUUUUCAAAAAUCAUAGUAAUGUUUAAUUAUUUGAUAAUGACUAAAUGUGACAAGUGUAUGUAACUAAUGUUUCAUGGAAAUUACAAAGGAAGCUUGGAUUAUUAACUCUCUGGUUCACUGACAUUUUAUUGAAGCAGAUUUUUUUACGGUAAUUAUUUAAAAGCUUAUGUAGGUCAGUGUAAUUUUAAACGUAUUAGCUGAAAUCUGUUUCCGUAUAAUGUCAAUGUUUCUAAUAAGCUUUGCUUCAAUGAAUUGAAUAAAGCACUAAAGCAUUCAGGCUGAACUAGAUGGAAUUAUUGAUAUCUAAAAACAAUUAACAAUAACUAUUGUUGAGUAGAUUGUAACAGUAUAACUGAUUAUAGAACUGAGCAAAAUAAUGAUUUCCGAAUAUUUUUUUAAGUUUGAAGUUGCUUAAAAAAAAACCCAGCGCAGUGGUGACGAAGCAUAGUUGGAUCAAGUAUAAUGAUAUCUGACAGUGAUUAAAAUCACUAUAAAAAAAAAAAGGUUCAAUGCAAAUCCUUAGAUAGUGUUUAAUUUUAAAAAAAAUGGUAGAUUAUUCCAAAAUCUACAUGAUCUGCUAGUUCCUUAUUAAUAUCCUGAUUAAGAUAA
Daktulosphaira vitifoliae (grape phylloxera) is the source of this 630-nucleotide long non-coding RNA. RefSeq lists it as uncharacterized. NCBI's taxonomy places the organism in Eukaryota, Metazoa, Arthropoda, Insecta, Hemiptera, Phylloxeridae. The transcript has 3 exons. The record is from RefSeq and is a predicted model, not a curated record.